This is a long non-coding RNA of Triticum aestivum (bread wheat), 2208 nucleotides long. RefSeq lists it as uncharacterized. Lineage: Eukaryota; Viridiplantae; Streptophyta; Magnoliopsida; Poales; Poaceae. The transcript has 4 exons. The record is from RefSeq and is a predicted model, not a curated record.
CCUACAACUAGUGGCACCGCACCGCACCACAACCUUAUCUUCCCUGUCGCUUGCCCCUCCCCCUCCAUCGCCCCUCCCCCAACCAAUCUUGCCCACACCGCAGAUGCAUCCUCCGCCCCAAACGACGGCGAUAGGGAUGCCGACGCCCUAACCCACGUCUCCUUCCACCUCCCCCAACUCGUCUUCUCGCCGGCUACUUUGGAGGAGCCUCCUUUUGCACGCCACCGUGGCCGGGCUGCGGCGACCACCAGAGGUCCGCCGCCGCCAGGAUCUCCCUCCUUCUCCACUACGAGGCACCAGCAGAGGGGGGCGACUCCUCCUUCCAUCCCUAGUCGCGGCCUCCAACCUCUAACGCCGCUUGAAACCCUAGCCCGAAUCCGGCAGAGGCAGUUGAAGGAAGGGGGCGGGCCAUGGACAAGCUGCAAGGUGGGGGCCUGAAGCCAUGGAUGGAUGUGUUUGGGACGGUGAGGAGGCACCCAACCGAGCGGCGGGCAAGGAUGAAGUGAAGUUGAGCGCACCGUCGUCAUAUCCCUUCUCCGUCUGCUGUUACUGGAAGCAAGCACAGUACCAUCUCAUCUCAUCCACGAGAAGCUAUUUUUGGCUUACCCGAAGGGAUGCAUGCUCUUCAUCUUGCAGGUAUGACUCAUCCUCGCAUUCUUACUUCGCCUUUGUUUCCUUCAGCUUAUUGAUCCUGAAAUUUUAAGAUAAAUUGUAAGUACUCACUAUCAUGUUCUUAAGCAAAGCUACUUUUUUUGCUUGAAUUAUAGUGUUUUGUCUGACCUAUGUAUAGUGUCAAUAAAAAUCUAAAUUUCAAGAUGGAGAUACAUUUUUUGGUGGCAUCUUACAUCACAGUAAUUUACAACCAAGAUAGGUUUACAAUGUUUUUUUGAUAGCAACUAUAAUGCAUAGCUGCAGAUUUUGUCGAAUACACAUAUGUAUUUUGUAUGCAUGGCAGAUACUGGGGUCAAAUAGAAUAACAAGUAAAUCAUUCCUUUUGUCUUCAUAUUUACUUGAAGGACUGCAUGUUUUUCAUCUUUGUAUGCCCCAUGUAUUUGCUUGUAAGCUUCAGUAGUGUUAUCUAUCUAGUCUGAUUUAUAUAAUCCAUUCCUAAGCUGAAAUAUUUUUUGUAACUGAAAUAUAUAGUCUGAGUUUCAUUCAGUUAUUUGUCACUUUUUAACUAAAUAGCUUUUUGUAACUGAAAUAUCUGUGUACUUACAAUGCCUGUCUCAUAGGGCCCAUCCCAGCGAGACCUAAGUUUUAAUUGAAUAUCUUUUCUGUCGAUUGUCGUAGGAUUUUAGAGAAAACACUUAUCAGGAAUACAAGUGUUUAUGAAACUACUGUUGUUGCUUUAGCCAAACACCUCACAGUUUCCAAAACUACAGUUUUGUAGAAACCAUAGUAUUCUGAUUGAGCUAAGCUAGCCUUGUAUCUCCACCUGUGGGAGUCAAGGUGCAUAUGCUCCUUGUCUUUUUCACUUUUUAGAUUAGACUGAAUAUCUAGGAUGCUUAUGCCGUCUCGAAACUGUCAACCCGACUCAUAGAAUGAUCUUUUUAUUUAGGAUUCAUGGUUUUUUUUCUUGUUAUUAUGCAUUACUAUGAGUUCAUUGUAUUAAGAUUCCUUACAACUUUAUGCGCCCGAGCUAUUUACAGAAGGAGGGGGCUCGGCCUUCUUCACGGCUCGCGGCAGUGUCUCUCGUUGAUUCGUUCGUGCAACAAGGAGGGGACCCGCCCUUCUUCAUGUCUUGUGCAACUAGUAAGGACCAGCCCUCUGGCUAUUACUAUUGAUCCAUGUGCAUGUGCUAAAAAGGGUGAUCGACGCGGACUACCGCUGCCCGGUGGGCGUCGUGCUCUUCAACCACUCGGAGGUGGACUUUGCCGUGAAGUCCGGUGACCGCGUCGCACAGAUGAUCGUCCAGGUGAUCGUGACGCCGGAGGCCGCCGAGGUGGAGGACCUCGAUAGCAUCAUUUGGGGGGAGGGAGGAUUCGGGUCCACUAGCGUCUGAACUCUGAGCCUUGGUAAAUACAUCUAGAGAAGUUGUAUGUUUAGGCUGCUGGUGGAACACUAGGAAAGGUACCUACCUUUGGUUGUGUGUGUUUACUAUUAAAUGGAAUCACAUGAUCUCUUGUGGUUGAGAUGUUCAAUGUUGCAUCCAUGAACGGUGCAAGUGUUAAGAUGGUCAUGUGACCUUAAUUUAUUUUGCAUUGGACA